Molecule: long non-coding RNA, 683 nt
Filed under: Gossypium barbadense (sea-island cotton)
Lineage: Eukaryota; Viridiplantae; Streptophyta; Magnoliopsida; Malvales; Malvaceae
Description: long non-coding RNA (GBAR_LNC019482)
Source: RNAcentral
UUUGGAUAUUUCAAAUAAGAAUGUUUUGGUAGCAGAAGACAUUGGCGAUAUCAGCAGAGCAACUGAAGAAGUUGAGGGAAAUAUGAUAGCAUAUGAAGGUAAUCCUGUUCUAGUGCCUGGCUUGAGUCCAUUAACAACAGUGUCAACUGAAGAAGAGAUGUUGAGUGAUGAUGAGAAUAGUACAAUUAAUGCAUUGAUUGGAGUCGAUGAAGCCUUAGAUCACAAUUUGUCUGAGGUAAUUGCCUGAUGAGUGUAUUGCUCUGCCCUUUCUGAUGAUUUAAGAAAAAUGGCAUAUAAAAUUAUUGCAAAUGGGACAAGAAUUAUCAAUGCUUGAUCAGUUAUUCUAAUAUAUAAAGCCUCAAAUGUAAAGGAAAGACUUCAAUGCUUUGAUCAGUACAGAAUUAUCAAUUACUUGCCCAUUUGACGAUCUGUGAUGCUUUGAUAUGAACUUUACAAUGAUAGGGUUAAGGGAGGCAAUAUGUAGUUUUCCCCUUGCAAAAUCUGCCAUGGUUGUUGGUAUUGCGGCUGAUAUAGUUAUGCCUUUUCCUUUGCGAUGUUAUUUUAAUGCCAGCAUAAUAAUGUUCAGUUAGAUGAGAAGCCAGAACCUGAAGGAGAACAAUCGGAAGAAGAAACAACUGCAGUAGCAAAGGACGAUGAGGAGCAGCUCAACCAGCAUAUUCAGG